RNAcentral lists this ribosomal RNA (430 nucleotides) under uncultured Bacteroidota bacterium. Its description in RNAcentral is "bacterial SSU rRNA". It matches the Rfam family "Bacterial small subunit ribosomal RNA", at positions 958 to 1385 of the family's 1533-position model. Lineage: Bacteria; Pseudomonadati; Bacteroidota. The record is from RNAcentral.
AACGCGAAGAACCUUACCUGGGCUAGAAUGCAGAAUGACCGGUCCUGAAAGGGGUCUUUGUAGCAAUACACAUUUUGUAAGGUGCUGCAUGGCUGUCGUCAGCUCGUGCCGUGAGGUGUUGGGUUAAGUCCCGCAACGAGCGCAACCCCCAUCACUAGUUGCCAUCAGGUAAAGCUGGGAACUCUAGUGAAACUGCCGUCGUAAGACGCGAGGAAGGAGGGGAUGAUGUCAAGUCAUCAUGGCCUUUAUGCCCAGGGCUACACACGUGCUACAAUGGGAGAGACAAAGGGCAGCGACACGGCGACGUGAGGCUAAUCCCAAAAACUCUUUCUCAGUUCAGAUUGCAGUCUGCAACUCGACUGCAUGAAGCUGGAAUCGCUAGUAAUCGUAUAUCAGCAAUGAUACGGUGAAUACGUUCCCGGGCCUUGUA